This 90-nucleotide transfer RNA is filed under the name Phanerochaete carnosa HHB-10118-sp. It matches the Rfam family "tRNA". From Rfam's summary of the family: Transfer RNA (tRNA) molecules are approximately 80 nucleotides in length. Their secondary structure includes four short double-helical elements and three loops (D, anti-codon, and T loops). The record is from Rfam by way of RNAcentral. Lineage: Eukaryota; Fungi; Basidiomycota; Agaricomycetes; Polyporales; Phanerochaetaceae.
CCUUCGAUAGCUCAGUUGGAAGAGCGCAAGACUGUAAUGGGUUGCCCAAAGUUGAUCUUGAUGUCGCUGGUUCGAUCCCGGCUCGAAGGA